Molecule: long non-coding RNA, 1602 nt
Filed under: Citrus maxima (pomelo)
Lineage: Eukaryota; Viridiplantae; Streptophyta; Magnoliopsida; Sapindales; Rutaceae
Description: long non-coding RNA (CMAX_LNC002161)
Source: RNAcentral
ACAAAAAUACGACAUAAGUUCCAAACACAUAACGACAUAAUUUGACAACAUUAUAGCAUGUCCCAAAAGGCAAUGAAUGCCUAACAACACAAAGUUAUAAGUUCGUCAUAUUGUGAAAUAAGAGCAAAUACAGAGCACACAUAAUAGGUAAAAAUAUGGUGGUAGAAGUUUCUAGGACGGCGUUGGUUUAAUUCGACCAAAGCGAUGAAUUUUAGUUGUAGUCAUAGGAAGAUCGAAGACAUGGGCAAUGUUGGAGGACAGAGCAUUGGUUGCCAUCGAUAAGGCAUAUCCGCACAGGGUCACUUUUACAGGCCUACAAAUUGAGGAAAAAAAAGUGAAAAAUAAACAAGUAAUUAAAAUAUAAUAAACUUAGUUAUUGAAGAGUCAUAAAUAAAAUAGUAAGUGAAAAUUAAACAAUUAAUUACAAUAAAAUAAACAUAGUUAUUGAAGCAUAAAAAGAAAGAGUAAGUGAAAAUUGAACAAAGAAAUACAAUAUAACAAACUAACUCAUUGAAUCGUCAUCACUGCUGCUUGAUAGUAGUCGGAAGAAGUCAUGUGCAGCAGCAGGAGUGUUGGCUAAAUAUUGAGUACGCUGAAUCUGUUAUAAAAUGGGAAAACAUUGACUGAUUAAUUGAAUUUCAUAUUAAUAUCUAGUAAAUGCAUAGUAUGGAUAAUAGAGACGAUAAGAGACGUGGAUAAAUGACAUGUGCUGCAGGGGCAAUAUGGCACGGCGUGUGUUGUAAAAUAAUGGUGUGUGCACAUGGAGGAGGCAGCAAAACAGCAGAAGCAUGGGACAUCCAUGGAAAAUUUUUCUAAUACAAUCAAUAUAAGAGAUCUACAACAAACAAUAAGCAUGUACCAUUUCUACCAUGGCAAUAUUUUAUGUUUUCGAUUCACUUGGUUCUAUUACUUUCUGCAGUUUCACUUUCCCUAUUCCCAAAUCACCUUACAUGUUCACUGUCAAACUUAAUCUUCAUUGCAAUACUUAGUAACACCCAAGCUACUCUUGCACUUUCGGCUGUACAUUCCAUUAUUAUUCUAUGCACUUACAAAAAUACAAAACAAAUCAACUGAAUAAUCUAUUUAUUAUUAGUCUUUUCUAAGUAAUUAUUAUAUAAAUUACAUAAAAAUAAAAGGAUUGAAAAUUUAAUUUUAAGGUGCCGCCUGCUUCUAAGAAGUUGAGGUUCAAAGCAUAGUCAUCAUGAAGAUAAAAGAAGAGACAACAAACAUCACUGACCCAAUAAAAUUACAGAGCAAAACCACAAGUUUCUCAUCAAUCCUAAUGCAACAAACAGGUGUCCAAUUGAACUGCUAGUAAACAAUCCCAAAUUUUUUUUGCAAAUUAAUGAACUAGACUCUACAAUUUUCCCAUUCUCUCUACUAUAUAUAAUUUCCCAACACAAAUAUUAUGAAUUAUGCAUUAUUCAAGUAAAAAAUUUCAAUUUCAGCUUCUAGUAACCUGCAGUUUUGUUGUCACGACCCUUCUUUUCGUUUCCUUUGAUGCUACCACAUAGAUGUUCAACUAGCCGCGAUCCACUUCAUUCAUCCCACGUAACACACCGUCGCAACGCGCUUGACUGUUCUCCCUACCGUAUAUUUCUC